GCGGCCGAUUAGGUAGUUGCUGGGGUAACGUCCCAACAAGCCGAUUAUCGGUACGGGUUGUGAGAGCAAGAGCCCGGAGAUGGAUUCUGAGACACGAAUCCAGGUCCUACGGGGCGCAGCAGGCGCGAAAACUUUACACUGCGCGAAAGCGCGAUAAGGGGACCUCGAGUGCGUGCGCAAAGCGUACGCUUUUCAGAUGCCUAAAAAGCAUCUGGAAUAAGGGCCGGGCAAGACCGGUGCCAGCCGCCGCGGUAACACCGGCGGCUCAAGUGGUGGCCGCUAUUAUUGGGCUUUAAAGGGUCCGUAGCCGGACCAGUUAGUCCCUUGGGAAAUCUUACGGCUUAACCGUAAGGCUGCCAAUGGAUACUGCUGGUCUUGGGACCGGGAGAGGCAAGAGGUACCUCAGGGGUAGGAGUGAAAUCCUGUAAUCCUUGAGGGACCGCCAGUGGCGAAGGCGUCUUGUUAGAACGGGUCCGACGGUGAGGGACGAAAGCUAGGGGCACGAACCGGAUUAGAUACCCGGGUAGUCCUAGCCGUAAACGAUGCGAGCUAGGUGUCACGUGGAUUGCGAAUCCAUGUGGUGCCGAAGGGAAACCGUGAAGCUCGCCGCCUGGGAAGUACGGCCGCAAGGCUGAAACUUAAAGGAAUUGGCGGGGGAGCAC
Molecule: ribosomal RNA, 662 nt
Filed under: uncultured euryarchaeote
Lineage: Archaea; Methanobacteriati; Methanobacteriota
Description: bacterial SSU rRNA
Rfam family: Archaeal small subunit ribosomal RNA
Source: RNAcentral